UACGUAGGGAGCAAGCGUUGUCCGGAAUUACUGGGCGUAAAGGGUGCGUAGGCGGCAUAUUAAGUCAUAUGUGAAAACCCCAUGCUUAAGAUGGGAGGUGCAUGUGAAACUGGUAUGCUAGAGUACAGGAGAGGUAAGUGGAAUUCCUAGUGUAGCGGUGAAAUGCGUAGAUAUUAGGAGGAACACCAGUGGCGAAGGCGGCUUACUGGACUGAAACUGACGCUGAGGCACGAAAGCGUGGGGAGCAAACAGG
Molecule: ribosomal RNA, 253 nt
Filed under: uncultured bacterium
Lineage: Bacteria
Also listed under: 1 other name
Description: partial 16S ribosomal RNA
Rfam family: Bacterial small subunit ribosomal RNA
Source: RNAcentral